Molecule: non-coding RNA, 139 nt
Filed under: uncultured Symbiodinium
Lineage: Eukaryota; Dinophyceae; Suessiales; Symbiodiniaceae
Source: RNAcentral
CACACGUCUUGGCAAGACCGUCCGCGACCGAGCGGGGGCCUCCUUUGAGGAGCGAGUGGGGGCGGCGCUCAAGGUGAUCCACACCAAGAGGCUGGCGGAGGAGACGGAGCAGCGCAAGGCCCUGCAGGCGGCGGUGGAG